AGCNGCCGCGGUAAUUCCAGCUCCAAUAGCGUAUAUUAAAGUUGUCGCAGUUAAAAAGCUCGUAGUUGAAUUUCGGGAUCAAUGCGCCGGUCGUGCCUCGGUACGUACUAACGAUAUUGAUUUCUCCCUUCUGACGAACCGUGAUGUCAUUAAUUUGGUGUUACGGGGAGCUAGGACUGUUACUUUGAAAAAAUUAGAGUGUUUAAAGCAAGCAAUCGCUCGAAUACAUUAGCAUGGAAUAAUGAAAUAGGACGUUCGAACCUAUUUUGUUGGUUUCUAGGAUCGACGUAAUGAUUAAUAGGGAUAGUUGGGGGCAUUAGUAUUCAAUUGUCAGAGGUGAAAUUCUUGGAUUUAUUGAAGACUAACUACUGCGAAAGCAUUUGCCAAGGAUGUUUUCAUUAAUCAAGAACGAAAGUUAGGGGAUCGAAGACGAUCAGAUACCGUCGUAGUCUUAACCAUAAACUAUGCCGACUAGGGAUCGGAUGAUGUUAAUUUUUUAAUGACUCA
Molecule: ribosomal RNA, 507 nt
Filed under: uncultured fungus
Lineage: Eukaryota; Fungi
Description: SSU rRNA
Rfam family: Eukaryotic small subunit ribosomal RNA
Source: RNAcentral